AUUGAACGCUGGCGGCAGGCUUAACACAUGCAAGUCGAGCGGAGUGAUGGUGCUUGCACUAUCACUUAGCGGCGGACGAGUGAGUAAUGCUUAGGAAUCUGCCUAUUAGUGGGGGACAACAUCUCGAAAGGGAUGCUAAUACCGCAUACGUCCUACGGGAGAAAGCAGGGGAUCACUUGUGACCUUGCGCUAAUAGAUGAGCCUAAGUCGGAUUAGCUAGUUGGUGGGGUAAAGGCCUACCAAGGGGACGAUCUGUAGCGGGUCUGAGAGGAUGAUCCGCCACACUGGGACUGAGACACGGCCCAGACUCCUACGGGAGGCAGCAGUGGGGAAUAUUGGACAAUGGGGGGAACCCUGAUCCAGCCAUGCCGCGUGUGUGAAGAAGGCCUUAUGGUUGUAAAGCACUUUAAGCGAGGAGGAGGCUCUUUUGGUUAAUACCCAAGAUGAGUGGACGUUACUCGCAGAAUAAGCACCGGCUAACUCUGUGCCAGCAGCCGCGGUAA
RNAcentral lists this ribosomal RNA (503 nucleotides) under uncultured bacterium. RNAcentral describes it as "partial 16S ribosomal RNA". It matches the Rfam family "Bacterial small subunit ribosomal RNA", at positions 30 to 523 of the family's 1533-position model. The record is from RNAcentral.